GACUCUCAGCAACGGAUAUCUCGGCUCUUGAUCAAUGAAGAACGUAGCGAAAUGCGAUACUUGGUGUGAAUUGUAGGAUCCCACGAACCACCGAGUCUUUGAAUGCAAGUUGCACCCGAAGCCUUCAGGCUGAGGGGACGUCUGCCUGGACGUCA
RNAcentral lists this ribosomal RNA (155 nucleotides) under Cucumis melo (muskmelon). Its description in RNAcentral is "5.8S ribosomal RNA". It matches the Rfam family "5.8S ribosomal RNA". From Rfam's summary of the family: 5.8S ribosomal RNA (5.8S rRNA) is a component of the large subunit of the eukaryotic ribosome. It is transcribed by RNA polymerase I as part of the 45S precursor that also contains 18S and 28S rRNA. RNAcentral also lists the same sequence under 1 other name. Lineage: Eukaryota; Viridiplantae; Streptophyta; Magnoliopsida; Cucurbitales; Cucurbitaceae. The record is from Rfam by way of RNAcentral.